This 253-nucleotide ribosomal RNA is filed under the name uncultured bacterium. RNAcentral describes it as "partial 16S ribosomal RNA". It matches the Rfam family "Bacterial small subunit ribosomal RNA", at positions 524 to 776 of the family's 1533-position model. The record is from RNAcentral.
UACGGAGGGUGCGAACGUUGUCCGGAAUCACUGGGCGUAAAGAGCAUGUAGGUGGCUUAGCAAGUGAAUGAUUAAAGACCGAUGCUUAACAUCGGACCAGUUGUUCAAACUACUUGGCUUGAGGAUAGCAGGGGUAAGCGGAACUUUAGGUGUAGGAGUGAAAUCCGUAGAUAUCUAAAGGAACACCAAUGGCGAAGGCAGCUUACUGGUCUAUUUCUGACACUGAGAUGCGAAAGCGUGGGGAGCGAACGGG